GGGUCAGUAGGUUGGUCGUGCCACCGGUACGUACUGGUCUCACUGAUUCCUCCUUCCUGAAGUACCGUAAUGCCAUUAAUUUGGUGUUGCGGGGAAACAGGACUGUUACUUUGAAAAAAUUAGAGUGUUUAAAGCAAGCUAACGCUUGAAUACAUUAGCAUGGAAUAAUGAAAUAGGACGAUCGAUCCUAUUUUGUUGGGUUCUAGGAUUGACGUA
This 216-nucleotide ribosomal RNA is filed under the name Glomeromycotina sp. RNAcentral describes it as "partial small subunit ribosomal RNA". The stretch from base 40 to 216 matches the Rfam family "Eukaryotic small subunit ribosomal RNA", at positions 686 to 864 of the family's 1831-position model. The record is from RNAcentral. Lineage: Eukaryota; Fungi; Glomeromycota.